This 465-nucleotide ribosomal RNA is filed under the name uncultured bacterium. RNAcentral describes it as "partial 16S ribosomal RNA". It matches the Rfam family "Bacterial small subunit ribosomal RNA", at positions 338 to 795 of the family's 1533-position model. The record is from RNAcentral.
CCUACGGGUGGCAGCAGUAGGGAAUCUUCCACAAUGGGCGAAAGCCUGAUGGAGCAACGCCGCGUGGGUGAAGAAGGUCUUCGGAUUGUAAAACCCUGUUGUUAGAGAAGAAAGAGCGGGAGAGUAACUGUUCACGUUUCGACGGUAUCUAACCAGAAAGCCACGGCUAACUACGUGCCAGCAGCCUCGGUAAUACGUAGGUGGCAAGCGUUAUCCGGAUUUAUUUGGCGUAAAGGGAACGCAGGCGGUCUUUUAAGUCUGAUGGGAAAGCCUUCGGCUUAACCGGAGUAGUGCAUUGGAAACUGGGUGACUUGAGAGCAGGAGAGGAGAGUGGAACUCGAGGUGUAGCGGUGAAAUGCGUAGAUAUAUGGCAGAACACCGGUGGCGAAGGCGGCUUACUGGUCUGUAACUGACGCUGAGGUUCGAAAGCGUGGGUAGCAAACAGGAUUAGAUACCCUUGUAGUC